Paramuricea clavata is the source of this 471-nucleotide non-coding RNA. The record is from the annotation of a GenBank genome assembly. NCBI's taxonomy places the organism in Eukaryota, Metazoa, Cnidaria, Anthozoa, Malacalcyonacea, Plexauridae.
CAACUGUUAACCAUUCGUCUUAAAUAUAAUACGAAUCCUUGUUAUUCAACGUGAAAAUUGGUUGAAAAUACAAGCAAAUAUAGUAAGGUUAUGGUUCUGUCACGUUAAUUCAUCAUUUUAUAAUCCUAUUUCACAAUCUCGAUAUUUUUAUGGUCUAUUGACUUAUUGCGCAACGUUUAAUAUGCACACACUGUGAUUAAGAACCUUUUAUGCACAUGUUAAAAUAUUCUGAACUUUGCACGCGAUUUUGUGUUUGCUUGAAAUCGAUAAAAUCGUUGGUAAAAGAAGAGAUUUUUUGGUCUGUUUUUGAAACAAUGCGUCAGUGAGUUUGUGGUUAAGGUAGGUUAAAACAUACACAAUGUUUUUGAGGCAUAAUUUUAUGUAUUUCGCAAUGAUGUCAAUGUUAUGAAUUUGAUAGCAUUGUUAACAAGCAGACAUAUUUGUAUGAUUCUGAAAUCAGACAGUUUCCGC